UUGUACCAAUGAAGAUGGUUCAACUUGGAGAAUCUGCAAGCUUUCAAUGUGAUCUGCCCAGUGAGAUUAAUGAAAGAGUCAUCCACUGGUUUAAGCAAAGACCAGGAGAUACCCUGAGACUGAUUUUGAAAGUGACUAUAAGAAAACAACAACCUAAAAUCCCUGAAUUUGAGCCAGAGUUUCCUAAAACAAGAUGGGAGGUAGAAAUUAAUCAAAAAUUUAGCCGUCUCACAUUGUUGAAGGCAAUCUACAGUGAUGAUGGACUAUAUCACUGUGCACUCGCUGCUUGGAAAGGCAAUAUCGAAUGGAGAGGGACAUAUUGGAUGGCUAUAGGGAAUACUGUGAGGAUGUCAGACAACACUGUCAUUCAGCAACUUGCAGUAUCCAAUCCGGUCCGCUCAGGAGACACGGCUACCCUUCAGUGUUCAGUUUGGUUUGACUCUGAGAAGAUGGAUUGCUCUGAAGAUUUCAGCAUGUUCUGGUUCCAAGCACAAUCAAAUAAUACCUAUCCAAAUAUGAUCUACACAGAUGGAAACAACCAUCAUGAAUGUGAGAAGAGAUCUGACUCUGAGAAGAGUUGUAUGUUUAAAUUCUCAAAAGUUGUCAACUCCUCUGAUUCUGGGAUAUUUUAUUGUGCUGUGGCCUCAUGUGGAAAAAUAUUGUUUGGAAAUGGAACCAGACUGGAAAUCGUGGACAACACAAGUUUUGAGUCUGUUGCCCUGCUGACUACAGUAUCCUGCCUGGUCUUUUCUUUGAUAUUAAAUGUUGUUCUCAUCUGUUACCAAGCUUCAAAGGCAAGGCAAAAAAGACCUCAAGGCAAGUGUUCCAAAAAAUGAAAUUGAUUUUUGUUAUUUUGGUUUAUUUAUCUGGGACUAUGUACAGAAGGCAUUGCUCUGAUACAUAUAUAGAGCUCUUUUUCAUCUGCAUCCUCUGUAGAUUUUCUGAUUUGGUGUAAAGUUUGUCUUAUUUGUUCAUGGAAGGACCUUGGCAUAAAUGCAACAAUAAUUUUUGAUCCCAACUUUGAAAUAAUGAAUUUGUUAAAAAUGUUUUUGCGUUGUCUUUGUUUGCAUUUAUUCUCUGUGACACUUGGUAGUCAAAUUUGUAACUAAACAUAAGUAAUUAUUUUGUUCCCAUCUCUAAACUUAAGCAACUUGUUUUUUACCAAGACUCUUUUAAAAUGCUUGAAAUUGUUCGUGUAAUUUACAGCCCAGUCCAGCCUUUAAUUAUAUCAUAUUAAAUGGGUUAAAGCUUUUGACACUUGUUACUUAUCUUAAAAUAUGUUCACCUCUUAUUGUUGCAUAUUUGCUCACAACUAUUAGUUGACUUGUGUCACCAUUGUAUAUAAUAUAUUUAAACAUCCAAAGUAAAUGGAUGGAGUGUACAACCUUCACAUUUUUUUGUGUCAGGGAUGGAGAGCACCACUUCACAAGAGACAUCGCACAGACUGCGACAGAGAAUACCUGAUCCUACUGACGGUGGAAACACAAACUAUGCUGCCUUGUACUUUUCAAGAAGAAUCUGAAAAUGUGGAGGCAACAAUAAAAACAUGGAACCCCUGGAGUGUUUUUACUCUGAAAUUAAAGUCUAAGCAUCAAUAAAUACUGAUGUGAAAAAUAAAUGUAUCUGCUUUUUAUGGACAAUGUUUUAAAAUGAAUUUUACUCUAAUCUACUUAAAAGUAUCUAUUUUGAAGGCAUGUUACUUUUUUAAGCUGCAUAUACAGUAGUAGCACAAACUGUCUCUUUGAAAAGCAUGUUGUUUUCUGUUUUUGCCUAAAUUAUUUGCUUUAUAGGUACUUCAACAUAAGUAAUCAAAGAAGAACCCAGAAGU
Molecule: long non-coding RNA, 1828 nt
Organism: Gambusia affinis (western mosquitofish)
Lineage: Eukaryota; Metazoa; Chordata; Actinopteri; Cyprinodontiformes; Poeciliidae
Exons: 4
Source: RefSeq, a predicted model, not a curated record